CUGAUGAUUUCCUGAUUGAUGGAUGAAUGUUCUGUGGGUAUUUCUAUUGCCACAUAUGCAAAAUUGGAGAACUCUAGGAUCUCAAUAAAUAUGAUGACAGGUUCCAUGUAUUCCCACCUUCAAGCAACUUCAGAAGAUCAUAAGUUGCCACUCAGGAUACGUCUUCAUUUGAAGCCCAGAUGGCCAAUUGUCAAUGAUCAAUUGAUUAAUUUUGAAGGAAAUUUUUUUUGUACAGAUAUGUGUCUGUCACCUUUAACUCUAGGAUCCUUUUCAGCUCUGGAAUUAUGUAAAACAGUUAAUUCAGGUGGGAAAAUUAGUUUGAGUGGAAGAAUGAGAUGUGAUUAAAGAGUUUAACUUGAAAAGAGGUUAAUCACAAUUUUUAAAAGUCACUAUAGCUGUUUUUUUUUUUCCAGUGACAAGAAAAAAACCACUGUGGUCUGUAGAAUUAAGGAACAAAAUGGUGGCUUCCUAUUGGAGAAUGGAUACACAAAUGGUGGAAUUUGAAUAUAAUGGAAUAUUAUUGUGCUAGAAGAAAUGAUGAAAUGAUAAUUUGAGAAAAUAGGGUAAAUCUUUAUGAACCUACACAAAACAAAGUGAGGAAAAAUUUUAAAAAUCAACUUUGAAAUUUGAUUAACAUAAUUAUAGAUGAGUCCAGACAAAUGAAGAUGAAAUAUACUGUCAUAGAAAUAUGAUCAUUUUAAGAUAUAGCAAGAAACAUGUUUAACAUGGAUAAUAGGGAGAUUUAAUAUUUACUGAAUUAUGUAAGCACAUACACACAUAUUGCUUAUUGUAAAAGAAUGGAGUUUAGAUGAACAAAAAGUAUAUGUUGCUUGACAAACGUCAAGCAUACUAUAAAAAGUGCAUUUUAUAAAGUAAAAAGAAUUACAUUGUAGAAACUAUUUGAGGAGAGGUAUUCUAGAUGUGUUAGUCAAAAUAGACCAGAAAUGGGAAAGAUAAAGCAGAAAGAGCAGUUAUGAGAAGACAGCUGCUUUAAUAUAGAUAUGAUAUGAUAAAUUAGUGGAAAGAAAGAGAAAUGUGAAUAUGUAAAGGAACAAGAAGUGUAUGAAAAGACAGUGGAUGUAGAACUUGAAACGAGAGUUUUUUACUGCUAAUUAACUAUGUUGUUUCAAAUCCAUCCCUACCACUUACCAACUACAUGAUGAUAUGAUAGGAAGUCACUUAACCACUUUUGCCCUGCCUCAGUUUCCUCCUCUUUAAAAUGAAGGUUGGACUGAGAGUUUUCUAAAAAUUACUUCUACCUUUACAUGGUUUUCAACCUCAUUACUUAGUUGAAAUGGUUCUCUUCCAAGCCACUAAUGUUUUCUUAAUCAAGAAUACUACUGGC
This 1345-nucleotide long non-coding RNA is filed under the name Monodelphis domestica (gray short-tailed opossum). RNAcentral describes it as "lncRNA (ENSMODG00000047809.1)". The record is from RNAcentral. Lineage: Eukaryota; Metazoa; Chordata; Mammalia; Didelphimorphia; Didelphidae.